RNAcentral lists this ribosomal RNA (475 nucleotides) under uncultured organism. RNAcentral's name for it is "partial 16S ribosomal RNA". It matches the Rfam family "Bacterial small subunit ribosomal RNA", at positions 335 to 801 of the family's 1533-position model. The record is from RNAcentral.
ACUCCUGCGGGAGGCAGCAGUGGGGAAUAUUGCACAAUGGGCGCAAGCCUGAUGCAGCCAUGCCGCGUGUAUGAAGAAGGCCUUCGGGUUGUAAAGUACUUUCAGCGGGGAGGAAGGCGAUAAGGUUAAUAACCUUGUUGAUUGACGUUACCCGCAGAAGAAGCACCGGCUAACUCCGUGCCAGCAGCCGCGGUAAUACGGAGGGUGCAAGCGUUAAUCGGAAUUACUGGGCGUAAAGCGCACGCAGGCGGUCUGUCAAGUCGGAUGUGAAAUCCCCGGGCUCAACCUGGGAACUGCAUUCGAAACUGGCAGGCUAGAGUCGUGUAGAGGGGGGUAGAAUUCCAGGUGUAGCGGUGAAAUGCGGAGAGAUCUGGAGGAAUACCGGUGGCGAAGGCGGCCCCCUGGACAAAGACUGACGCUCAGGUGCGAAAGCGUGGGGAGCAAACAGGAUUAGAUACCCCAGUAGUCCCAUGAU